GAAGUUCCCAAGCCCCCAAGGGACUGUAGGGACUUCUGGGAAGAUGGUGAAGUGGUAUGCAGCAGAAAAAGAGCCUUUCCGAGAUUUGGUGUCCAGACACUUGAAUAUCGCAACUCCAAGAAGAGAAUCAGGGAAGUGGGUCCCCUGGACCAGGAAGGAUCUGGAGCAAGAGUUGAAGCCCACAAAGAGAGCAAAUAGAGAAACUUCCACAAAGAGAUUUUUUGACUCCUAAAUCCAUUUGUGCCGGCAACCUUGAUAACUAUUUUAAAGAAGGAAUCAAACUCAGGAUCACAUGCUU
Long non-coding RNA from Chinchilla lanigera (long-tailed chinchilla), 298 nucleotides. RefSeq lists it as uncharacterized. NCBI's taxonomy places the organism in Eukaryota, Metazoa, Chordata, Mammalia, Rodentia, Chinchillidae. The transcript has 3 exons. The record is from RefSeq and is a predicted model, not a curated record.